UGACUGUAAAGUAAAUUAGUAUGUUAAAUGUUAAUCAAGAUUAAUUGAUAUUUCAACAGCCGCUCUAAAUCACGAUCACCAUCUUUAAAGAGAAGUUUUGAUAUGAGCCAUUUAUAUCCAUUCUCCAUUAACUCACGUCGUUCGCCAUCAGGAAGCCCUCGAAGAAGUAUCAGUCCUGAAAGAAUGGAUUAGAAUGGCAAAGAACGUGUUAGGAAAAGUAUUGUUUAUGUAAUUUUAAGGGAUUUCUUUAUUGAGAAAUAAAAGGAUUUAGUUCGCUGAAGAAAAUCUUUUC
Molecule: long non-coding RNA, 292 nt
Filed under: Notechis scutatus (mainland tiger snake)
Lineage: Eukaryota; Metazoa; Chordata; Lepidosauria; Squamata; Elapidae
Description: lncRNA (ENSNSUG00000016204.1)
Source: RNAcentral